Molecule: ribosomal RNA, 369 nt
Filed under: Triticum aestivum (bread wheat)
Lineage: Eukaryota; Viridiplantae; Streptophyta; Magnoliopsida; Poales; Poaceae
Description: partial small subunit ribosomal RNA
Source: RNAcentral
AUGCCAAGACCGCCUUCGUGGGUUCUUUUCGCCAAGUUCCGAUGCUCGCAGAUUUUGGGGCGCGCCAAGUUCCGUUUAAAGAUGUUCAACUUCAUCCGAUGUGGAUUUCGACAAGUACCACGACGGCCGGAGCCCUCGGAUACGUCAACUUUGACUUCACUGCGAGAGGAAGAACGCCAAGUACCUCUCCGAAAACGAACAUGUACCACUACGUUCGGAGGCAUCGGAUCCGUCAAGUCCAACAACGACUGUGUACAACUAUCGGCGACCUCGAACGACUACGAAAUGGGAACCUCUACUUCCCCUUCAAAACGUGUACCACUACCGCCGCCCGAACGUCUACGGGACAUGUACCACGACCAUCGUUGA